This 1489-nucleotide ribosomal RNA is filed under the name Lactiplantibacillus plantarum. Its description in RNAcentral is "bacterial SSU rRNA". It matches the Rfam family "Bacterial small subunit ribosomal RNA". Lineage: Bacteria; Bacillati; Bacillota; Bacilli; Lactobacillales; Lactobacillaceae. The record is from RNAcentral.
GACGAACGCUGGCGGCGUGCCUAAUACAUGCAAGUCGAACGAACUCUGGUAUUGAUUGGUGCUUGCAUCAUGAUUUACAUUUGAGUGAGUGGCGAACUGGUGAGUAACACGUGGGAAACCUGCCCAGAAGCGGGGGAUAACACCUGGAAACAGAUGCUAAUACCGCAUAACAACUUGGACCGCAUGGUCCGAGUUUGAAAGAUGGCUUCGGCUAUCACUUUUGGAUGGUCCCGCGGCGUAUUAGCUAGAUGGUGAGGUAACGGCUCACCAUGGCAAUGAUACGUAGCCGACCUGAGAGGGUAAUCGGCCACAUUGGGACUGAGACACGGCCCAAACUCCUACGGGAGGCAGCAGUAGGGAAUCUUCCACAAUGGACGAAAGUCUGAUGGAGCAACGCCGCGUGAGUGAAGAAGGGUUUCGGCUCGUAAAACUCUGUUGUUAAAGAAGAACAUAUCUGAGAGUAACUGUUCAGGUAUUGACGGUAUUUAACCAGAAAGCCACGGCUAACUACGUGCCAGCAGCCGCGGUAAUACGUAGGUGGCAAGCGUUGUCCGGAUUUAUUGGGCGUAAAGCGAGCGCAGGCGGUUUUUUAAGUCUGAUGUGAAAGCCUUCGGCUCAACCGAAGAAGUGCAUCGGAAACUGGGAAACUUGAGUGCAGAAGAGGACAGUGGAACUCCAUGUGUAGCGGUGAAAUGCGUAGAUAUAUGGAAGAACACCAGUGGCGAAGGCGGCUGUCUGGUCUGUAACUGACGCUGAGGCUCGAAAGUAUGGGUAGCAAACAGGAUUAGAUACCCUGGUAGUCCAUACCGUAAACGAUGAAUGCUAAGUGUUGGAGGGUUUCCGCCCUUCAGUGCUGCAGCUAACGCAUUAAGCAUUCCGCCUGGGGAGUACGGCCGCAAGGCUGAAACUCAAAGGAAUUGACGGGGGCCCGCACAAGCGGUGGAGCAUGUGGUUUAAUUCGAAGCUACGCGAAGAACCUUACCAGGUCUUGACAUACUAUGCAAAUCUAAGAGAUUAGACGUUCCCUUUGGGGACAUGGAUACAGGUGGUGCAUGGUUGUCGUCAGCUCGUGUCGUGAGAUGUUGGGUUAAGUCCCGCAACGAGCGCAACCCUUAUUAUCAGUUGCCAGCAUUAAGUUGGGCACUCUGGUGAGACUGCCGGUGACAAACCGGAGGAAGGUGGGGAUGACGUCAAAUCAUCAUGCCCCUUAUGACCUGGGCUACACACGUGCUACAAUGGAUGGUACAACGAGUUGCGAACUCGCGAGAGUAAGCUAAUCUCUUAAAGCCAUUCUCAGUUCGGAUUGUAGGCUGCAACUCGCCUACAUGAAGUCGGAAUCGCUAGUAAUCGCGGAUCAGCAUGCCGCGGUGAAUACGUUCCCGGGCCUUGUACACACCGCCCGUCACACCAUGAGAGUUUGUAACACCCAAAGUCGGUGGGGUAACCUUUUAGGAACCAGCCGCCUAAGGUGGGACAGAUGAUUAGGGUG